RNAcentral lists this ribosomal RNA (548 nucleotides) under Galactomyces sp. ST-36. RNAcentral's name for it is "eukaryotic LSU rRNA". It matches the Rfam family "Eukaryotic large subunit ribosomal RNA", at positions 62 to 648 of the family's 3401-position model. The record is from RNAcentral. Lineage: Eukaryota; Fungi; Ascomycota; Dipodascomycetes; Dipodascales; Dipodascaceae.
AAACCAACAGGGAUUGCCUUAGUAACGGCGAGUGAAGCGGCAAAAGCUCAAAUUUGAAAUCGGCCAACAGGUCGAGUUGUAAUUUGUAGAUUGUACCUUGAGAGCGGAUUAAAGUCUGUUGGAACACAGCGCCUUAGAGGGUGACAGCCCCGUAAAAAUCUAUUCUCAUUUGUAAGGUACUUUCGAAGAGUCGAGUUGUUUGGGAAUGCAGCUCUAAGUGGGAGGUAAAUUCCUUCUAAAGCUAAAUAUUGACGAGAGACCGAUAGCGAACAAGUACUGUGAAGGAAAGAUGAAAAGCACUUUGAAAAGAGAGUGAAAAAGUACGUGAAAUUGUUAAAAGGGAAGGGUAUUGAAUCAGACGUGGUACUGUUGUUCAACUUUGUUUCGGCAUGGUGUAUUCAGCAGUUACUAGGCCAAGGUGGGGUGUUUGGGAGUGAAAAAGAAAUAGGAAUGUAGCUCUUCGGAGUGUUAUAACCUGUUUUCAUAGCUCCUCAGGCGCCUCAGGACUGCGCUUCGGCAAGGACUUUGGCAUAAUGAUUCUAUACCGC